RNAcentral lists this ribosomal RNA (496 nucleotides) under uncultured bacterium. RNAcentral describes it as "bacterial SSU rRNA". It matches the Rfam family "Bacterial small subunit ribosomal RNA", at positions 28 to 521 of the family's 1533-position model. The record is from RNAcentral.
GAUUAACGCUAGCGGCAGGCAUAAUACAUGCAAGUUGAACGGGAUAAGUUUAGCAAUAGACUUUGAGAGUGGCGCACGGGUGCGUAACACGUAUGCAACCUGCCCUUGACUGGAGAAUAGCCUCUCGAAAGAGAGAUUAAUGUUCCAUAACAUAAUGGUAGAGCAUUCUAUUAUUAUCAAAGCUCCGGCGGGCAAGGAUGGGCAUGCGGUUGAUUAGCUAGUUGGUGAGGUAACGGCUCACCAAGGCGACGAUCAAUAGGGGGUCUGGGAGGGUGUCCCCCCACACUGGUACUGAGACACGGACCAGACUCCUACGGGAGGCAGCAGUAGGGAAUAUUGGACAAUGGAGGCAACUCUGAUCCAGCCAUGCCGCGUGCAGGAAGACUGCCCUAUGGGUUGUAAACUGCUUUUGUACGGGAAGAAACCCAUCUACGUGUAGGUGGUUGACGGUACCGUAAGAAUAAGGAUCGGCUAACUUCGUGCCAGCAGCCGCAGU